UACGUAGGGUGCGAGCGUUAAUCGGAAUUACUGGGCGUAAAGCGUGCGCAGGCGGUGCUGUAAGUCCGGUGUGAAAUCCCCGGGCUUAACCUGGGAACUGCAUUGGUGACUGCAUCGCUCGAGUAUGGCAGAGGGGGGUAGAAUUCCACGUGUAGCAGUGAAAUGCGUAGAGAUGUGGAGGAAUACCGAUGGCGAAGGCAGCCCCCUGGGUCAAUACUGACGCUCAUGCACGAAAGCGUGGGGAGCAAACAGG
This 253-nucleotide ribosomal RNA is filed under the name uncultured bacterium. Its description in RNAcentral is "partial 16S ribosomal RNA". It matches the Rfam family "Bacterial small subunit ribosomal RNA", at positions 524 to 776 of the family's 1533-position model. The record is from RNAcentral.